Molecule: long non-coding RNA, 703 nt
Filed under: Elaeis guineensis (African oil palm)
Lineage: Eukaryota; Viridiplantae; Streptophyta; Magnoliopsida; Arecales; Arecaceae
Description: long non-coding RNA (EGUI_LNC033668)
Source: RNAcentral
UAUUUGUUCAAUCAAGUCACAUACUUUUAAAUUGAACAUAUAGACUUAGGUCAAUUCUUUCUUACUUUGCCUGACUUUUUGCGUGACUCCAUAGGUUCGAAGUCGAUAGCACAGAAAACUAUUUUCUGUACUAAUCAAAGUUACCAUCUAGCAAUGAUUCUCAACAAAUGGAUAGAUCAAAUAUUUGCAAGGCAACACUCAAGAACCAAGGAAUAUGGUUACUGCAUAAUUCAUCCCUUUAACUCUGAAUGCUCAGGACAAUCUAAGGUUUAAUUGUCAAUCUGGAUUAGUCAUCCACAUUGUAUUUCAAUCUUUUUCAAAUCCUGUGAUAUAUCACAUGGAUUGCCCCGACCGAGAUCUUACUUAAUUGAAAUACAGUGAUGCAUCAACUCCUGAAAUACAAAGGCAUCAAUCCCAUCUUGAUCCAUACACCAACUACCAUAAGUACUUGACUGUACCCAAAAAUCUUCCGUCACUGAAUUAAAAAUUUAGGUAGUCCAGCACCAAGCAACAGUGAGUUGCUUACAAGUCACCAUGGUGAUCUCAGGUUGGAGGGACACUUAUAUCCAUAUUCUUCAUGAGCUGCUCUUGAUAGCAGAGUGCUCUGCAGGUGAGUCACUUAUUCAGUGAUGAUGUACUUCUAUAUCUUACCUGUGUGCUAUACCUGUGUCUCCACACUCUUUGGUUAAGAGAACAACAAUCU